GCUUACUGCCACACCGCUGGUUCACGCCCGAUCUCGUUUGAUCUCGGAAGCUAAGAUAGGUUGGGCCUGGUUAUUACUUGGAUGGGAGACCGCCUGGGAAUACCAGGUGCUGUAAGCU
RNAcentral lists this ribosomal RNA (118 nucleotides) under Scophthalmus maximus (turbot). Lineage: Eukaryota; Metazoa; Chordata; Actinopteri; Pleuronectiformes; Scophthalmidae. The record is from RNAcentral.